RNAcentral lists this ribosomal RNA (550 nucleotides) under Salmonella enterica subsp. enterica serovar Bredeney. Its description in RNAcentral is "bacterial SSU rRNA". It matches the Rfam family "Bacterial small subunit ribosomal RNA", at positions 993 to 1533 of the family's 1533-position model. The record is from RNAcentral. Lineage: Bacteria; Pseudomonadati; Pseudomonadota; Gammaproteobacteria; Enterobacterales; Enterobacteriaceae.
GAAGAAUCCAGAGAUGGAUUGGUGCCUUCGGGAACCGUGAGACAGGUGCUGCAUGGCUGUCGUCAGCUCGUGUUGUGAAAUGUUGGGUUAAGUCCCGCAACGAGCGCAACCCUUAUCCUUUGUUGCCAGCGGUCCGGCCGGGAACUCAAAGGAGACUGCCAGUGAUAAACUGGAGGAAGGUGGGGAUGACGUCAAGUCAUCAUGGCCCUUACGACCAGGGCUACACACGUGCUACAAUGGCGCAUACAAAGAGAAGCGACCUCGCGAGAGCAAGCGGACCUCAUAAAGUGCGUCGUAGUCCGGAUUGGAGUCUGCAACUCGACUCCAUGAAGUCGGAAUCGCUAGUAAUCGUGGAUCAGAAUGCCACGGUGAAUACGUUCCCGGGCCUUGUACACACCGCCCGUCACACCAUGGGAGUGGGUUGCAAAAGAAGUAGGUAGCUUAACCUUCGGGAGGGCGCUUACCACUUUGUGAUUCAUGACUGGGGUGAAGUCGUAACAAGGUAACCGUAGGGGAACCUGCGGUUGGAUCACCUCCUUACCUGAAAGAA